RNAcentral lists this ribosomal RNA (497 nucleotides) under uncultured bacterium. Its description in RNAcentral is "partial 16S ribosomal RNA". It matches the Rfam family "Bacterial small subunit ribosomal RNA", at positions 28 to 507 of the family's 1533-position model. The record is from RNAcentral.
GAUGAACGCUGGCGGCGUGCCUAAUACAUGCAAGUCGAGCGAACGGACGAGAAGCUUGCUUUUCUGAUGUUAGCGGCGGACGGGUGAGUAACACGUGGAUAACCUACCUAUAAGACUGGGAUAACUUCGGGAAACCGGAGCUAAUACCGGAUAAUAUUUUGAACCGCAUGGUUCAAAAGUGAAAGACGGUCUUGCUGUCACUUAUAGAUGGAUCCGCGCUGCAUUAGCUAGUUGGUAAGGUAACGGCUUACCAAGGCAACGAUGCAUAGCCGACCUGAGAGGGUGAUCGGCCACACUGGAACUGAGACACGGUCCAGACUCCUACGGGAGGCAGCAGUAGGGAAUCUUCAGCAAUGGGCGAAAGCCUGACGGAGCAACGCCGCGUGAGUGAUGAAGGUCUUCGGAUCGUAAAACUCUGUUAUUAGGGAAGAACAUAUGUGUAAGUAACCGUGCACAUCUUGACGGUACCUAAUCAGAAAGCCACGGCUAACUACGUG